GACGAACGCUGGCGGCGUGCUUAACACAUGCAAGUCGAACGGAAAGGCCCUGCUUUUGUGGGGUGCUCGAGUGGCGAACGGGUGAGUAACACGUGAGUAACCUGCCCUUGACUUUGGGAUAACUUCAGGAAACUGGGGUUAAUACCGGAUAGGAGCUCCUGCUGCAUGGUGGGGGUUGGAAAGUUUCGGCGGUUGGGGAUGGACUCGCGGCUUAUCAGCUUGUUGGUGGGGUAGUGGCUUACCAAGGCUUUGACGGGUAGCCGGCCUGAGAGGGUGACCGGCCACAUUGGGACUGAGAUACGGCCCAGACUCCUACGGGAGGCAGCAGUGGGGAAUAUUGCACAAUGGGCGGAAGCCUGAUGCAGCAACGCCGCGUGCGGGAUGACGGCCUUCGGGUUGUAAACCGCUUUCGCCUGUGACGAAGCGUGGGUGACGGUAAUGGGUAAAGAAGCACCGGCUAACUACGUG
Molecule: ribosomal RNA, 468 nt
Filed under: uncultured bacterium
Lineage: Bacteria
Description: partial 16S ribosomal RNA
Rfam family: Bacterial small subunit ribosomal RNA
Source: RNAcentral